CAGUAGCCGCGGUAAUACGUAGGUGGCAAGCGUUGUCCGGAUUUAUUGGGCGUAAAGCGAGCGCAGGCGGUCAAUUAAGUCUGAUGUGAAAGCCCCCAGCUCAACCGGGGAGGGUCAUUGGAAACUGGUUGACUUGAGUGCAGAAGAGGAGAGUGGAAUUCCAUGUGUAGCGGUGAAAUGCGUAGAUAUAUGGAGGAACACCAGUGGCGAAGGCGACUCUCUGGUCUGUAACUGACGCUGAGGAGCGAAAGCGUGGGGUGCGAACAGGAUUAGAUACCCCAGUAGUCCCUGUCUCUUAUAA
RNAcentral lists this ribosomal RNA (301 nucleotides) under uncultured bacterium. RNAcentral's name for it is "partial 16S ribosomal RNA". It matches the Rfam family "Bacterial small subunit ribosomal RNA", at positions 509 to 809 of the family's 1533-position model. The record is from RNAcentral.